ACAACUUUCAACAACGGAUCUCUUGGUUCUCGCAUCGAUGAAGAACGCAGCGAAAUGCGAUACGUAAUGUGAAUUGCAGAAUUCAGUGAAUCAUCGAAUCUUUGAACGCACAUUGCACUCCUUGGUAUUCCGAGGAGUAUGCCUGUUUCAGUAUCAUGAGCACUCUCACACCUAACCUUUGGGUUUAUGGCGUGGAAUUGGAAUGCGCCGACUGUC
Molecule: ribosomal RNA, 216 nt
Filed under: Mortierella sp. 3584
Lineage: Eukaryota; Fungi; Mortierellomycota; Mortierellomycetes; Mortierellales; Mortierellaceae
Description: 5.8S ribosomal RNA
Rfam family: 5.8S ribosomal RNA (bases 3-156)
About the family: 5.8S ribosomal RNA (5.8S rRNA) is a component of the large subunit of the eukaryotic ribosome.
Source: RNAcentral